This is a long non-coding RNA of Mesocricetus auratus (golden hamster), 577 nucleotides long. RefSeq lists it as uncharacterized. The record is from RefSeq and is a predicted model, not a curated record. The transcript is spliced from 3 exons. Lineage: Eukaryota; Metazoa; Chordata; Mammalia; Rodentia; Cricetidae.
CGUUGCCCAGGCAGGACUGAGUCACAGGGAAGACAGAGACCCAUACUGCAGAACCUGGCUCUCAACACAUGUUGAACACGAUGCCAAUUUGCUCUGCUUUCCAAGUUCCCUCUGACGGUGGCCUGUCUGGCCGUGACCACAUCGUCUUCCUCACAACCCUUUGGCUAAGUCUCCUGUGGGCAGACAUAGACACUUUCCACAAACAGCCAUCCACCUUAGUUUCUUGGUACAUCACAGAAAUAAACAAGUACCAGCAAGAAAACAAAGCAGCAAGAGUCAACAGAAAGCAAGUGAUGGAUGCCUGAGGCGACCCGUGUGAAAGGAUCUUUCGACUUCCAACGGGGUUGACUCCCACAGGUUGAGAACUGCUGGUCUAGCUCCUAGUACCUUAGAGAGACCACUUGAGCUAUACAUCUCACCAAGGACAGAAGAUUACACCUCAACCCAACAGACUCCAUUGAAGUGACAAGCAUCAACAUGACUCUUGCCACUGUCAGUUAAUCCAUGUACAUAUGUGCAGUAGAGCUUUGGUUUGGAAACCCUUAAGUGCAGUGUCUCGUUUCCUUCUCACAAUAAA